GAAUAUGAAGGAAAACUGGCUGUGACACCUGUCAACUACAUUGAUUUUCAGCAUUGAUACAGAUGGUCUGAGCUGAUCCCUGAUCUCCCUUAUCACUUCAUUUGUGUUCCUUCUAGAGCUAUGUGCUUAUUCAAAGUGAAUGACCUUUUUAAAGAAGACCAGUCAUGAAGGGUAUUUAAAAGGUACAUUCCCUAUGUAUAAUUUCCAGGCAUGUCACACUUUAUUCAAAGGUAAAUCUGUAGGAUAUAAAUCUGUAGAACAAAUAGACACAAUUUGGUUGGGUGAGUCCUUUUUCU
Molecule: small nuclear RNA, 296 nt
Filed under: Carlito syrichta (Philippine tarsier)
Lineage: Eukaryota; Metazoa; Chordata; Mammalia; Primates; Tarsiidae
Description: 7SK RNA (ENSTSYG00000024183.2)
Rfam family: 7SK RNA
About the family: 7SK was discovered as an abundant small nuclear RNA in the mid-70s but a possible function has only recently been suggested. Two independent studies have found that 7SK RNA binds the CDK9/cyclin T complex (known as elongation factor P-TEFb).
Source: Rfam by way of RNAcentral